AUUGAACGCUGGCGGCAGGCCUAACACAUGCAAGUCGAGCGGAUGAAGGGAGCUUGCUCCUGGAUUCAGCGGCGGACGGGUGAGUAAUGCCUAGGAAUCUGCCUGGUAGUGGGGGAUAACGUCCGGAAACGGGCGCUAAUACCGCAUACGUCCUGAGGGAGAAAGUGGGGGAUCUUCGGACCUCACGCUAUCAGAUGAGCCUAGGUCGGAUUAGCUAGUUGGUGGGGUAAAGGCCUACCAAGGCGACGAUCCGUAACUGGUCUGAGAGGAUGAUCAGUCACACUGGAACUGAGACACGGUCCAGACUCCUACGGGAGGCAGCAGUGGGGAAUAUUGGACAAUGGGCGAAAGCCUGAUCCAGCCAUGCCGCGUGUGUGAAGAAGGUCUUCGGAUUGUAAAGCACUUUAAGUUGGGAGGAAGGGCACUAAGUUAAUACCUUGCUGUUUUGACGUUACCAACAGAAUAAGCACCGGCUAACUUCGUG
This 484-nucleotide ribosomal RNA is filed under the name uncultured bacterium. Its description in RNAcentral is "partial 16S ribosomal RNA". It matches the Rfam family "Bacterial small subunit ribosomal RNA", at positions 30 to 507 of the family's 1533-position model. The record is from RNAcentral.